Molecule: ribosomal RNA, 305 nt
Filed under: uncultured bacterium
Lineage: Bacteria
Description: bacterial SSU rRNA
Rfam family: Bacterial small subunit ribosomal RNA
Source: RNAcentral
UUCCUCCUUUUCUCCGCCUUAGGGAAUAUUGCCCAAUGGGGGAACCCCUGACUCCUCCCCUCCUCUUUUCUUCUUCCUUUUUUCGUAUUGUAAACUCCUUUUGUUAGAGAAGAUAAUGACGGUAUCUAACGAAUAAGCACCGGCUAACUCCGUGCCAGCAGCCGCGGUAAUACGGAGGGUGCAAGCGUUACUCGGAAUCACUGGGCGUAAAGAGCGCGUAUGCGGUAUAGCAAGUCAGAUGUGAAAUCCUAUGGCUUAACCAUAGAACUGCAUUUGAAACUGUUAUUCUAGAGUAUGGGAGAGGG